UUUUUAGAACAGGAAUGUCUAUAGCUGUUAUCAAUGGCUAUCCUGCCACUGCAUGUUGGGUGCAUGAAAGGGGAUGGAUAGCUUGAGUUUAAAAUGGCUGCUGACUCUGUAGAUUUACAGAUUAGCUGAUCAAGAAGAACUUCACACAGAGAAAGUCACUGAUUUACUAGAAUUAAUUUACAUGAUGAGAUUCUGGACUUUGAGCUGAUGUUCUCAUAGGAUAAUGCUCUUGGAGACCUCAGGAUGGGAUGAACGUAUUUUACAUUUGGGAGGGGCAUGAAUCUUUGGAAGCCAUAAGGGAUAAUGGGGCAGAUAGACUUGGAAGGUGGCCCCCAUGAUUCCUGUCACCCGGUAUACCCUUGCAUGGCCCCCUUCCCUUGAGUGUGGACAUGACCUGUGACUUACUUCUAAUAGAUAGAAUACAGCAAAGGUGAUAGACAUAUGUAAUUAUGCAUGUAGGAUUCAGUUGCAUAAAAUAGUAACCUGUCUUGCUGGAGACUCUCUCUUGCAGGUUGUGAUGAAGCAGGUAGCUAUUGGGGGAGGCCUCCAUGAUGAGGAACUGUGGGCAGCUUCUAGAAGCUGAGGGCAACCUCUGGCUGACAAAUAGCAAAGUACUGAAGCCCUCAGUUCUUUAACCACCAGGAAAUGGAUUCUACCAACAAAACAAAUGAGCCUGGAAGUGGAUCCUUCCCCAGUUCAGCUUCCAUUUGAAAACAAGCCCUGCCUGAUACCUUGAUCAUGGCCUCAGACAGACCUCAACUAAGCCAUAUCUAUACACCUGAGGCACUGAAACAGUGAGACAUAAGUUUGUGUUGGUGUACACUGCUAAAUGUGGGCUAAUAUUUUUAUGCAGCAAUAUAUAUCUAACACAGCAAGCAAGGAAACAAGAGAAAUAAAAUAUUAAUGCAAAAUAAAAGAGAAGAAAGAUCAUGAGGGCUUGUUAGAGAAGAGUCACCAUGGUAGACUCUGGGCCAGAUGUGUNCACCAAUGGAGCCUCAGUGCAGUGGACGUCAUCAACCAUGGCCCCCUACAUGCUGGCCUUUGAAGUGUCAGCCCACUGAUUCUAAGGAGGAAGCAGAAAGCAGGUCAGAGGGUGUGGCCCCUAAGCAGUAAGCGCUAGGACAGCUCCCAGUGCCAUCAGAAAAAGAGCAGUAACCCCAAGAGGAAGGUGCUGAGGAUGCUGGGAGAGGCUGGAGGAACCUGCCUGCUUUAGAGCAUGCUCAAAGCUUGUUCUGAUAAGUACCUCUGUAGCUGUUGAAAGCUGAAGCUUUCUGCCAACCCGCUUUGGCAGUGGAUAGGCUCCCUAGCGGGCACAGAUAUACUAUCUGAUGCCAGUUCUAAGGUUUUGCAGGGAGAGCUCAAAUCCCAGCUCAUGAUAGUUCGUUUUGAAAUGGACAGUAAUGAGCUUAGCUGUAAGUAUUCUGGUUUACAGGACAGUCUCAAGGAAUUUUCACAGUAAGUCAGAGAGUCAUACAUUUCUUUUGAGAUUCUCAUUCUUAAUUC
This 1503-nucleotide long non-coding RNA is filed under the name Sus scrofa (pig). Its description in RNAcentral is "lncRNA (ENSSSCG00050017106.1)". Lineage: Eukaryota; Metazoa; Chordata; Mammalia; Artiodactyla; Suidae. The record is from RNAcentral.